GUUUAUACUUGCAUACUAUUGUUUGUACAGAUGAACGUGGUACCUUCAGGAGUUUGGAAAUUGCUCCCAAUGAUGAACCAGACCUGUGGAGGUCUACCAUUUUUUUCUGAGGCUGAUUUCUUUUGAUUUUCCCAUGAUGUCAAGCAAAGAGGUACUGAGUUUGAAGGUAGGCCUUGAAAUACAUCCACAGGUACACCUCCAAUUGACUCAAAUGGUGUCAAUUAGACUAUCAGAAGCUUCUACAGCCAUAAAAUAAUUUUCUGGAAUUUUCCAAGCUGUUUAAAGUCACAGUCAACUUAUUGUAUGUAAAAUUCUGACCAACUGGAAUUGUGAUACAGUGAAUUAUAAGUGCAAUAAUCUGCUCAAAGUAGAUUGCCAAACUUUUAGUUUGUUAACAAGAAAUUUGUGGAGUGGUUGAAAAACAAGUUUUAAUGACUCCAACCUAAGUGUAUGUAAACUUCCGACUUCAAUUGUUGUGUGUGUGUGUAUAUAUAUAAAUAUAAUAUUAUUCUUAUUAUAUAUAUUUUUGGGCUAAAAAUGUGGGGCCAAAACAGGUGGGGCUCAGCCCCACCUGCCCUGAAUGACGGGUCGCCACUGUGUAUGUUAACAUGGAAGAACUGAGUCAUUUUCAGCUUCCAGGAGUUGUGUACAGAUCCUUGCGACAUGGGGCCUUGCAUUAUCAUGCUGAAGAAUCAGGUGAUGCUGGUGGAUGAAUGGCAUGAUAAUGGGACUCAGGAUGGGUCACAAGCGCUCAGGACCUCAGACUGGGGUGAAGGUUCACCAUCCUACAGGACAUCGACCCUAAGCACACAGCCAAGACGAUGCAGGAGUGGCUCCGGAACAAGUCUUUGAAAGUCCUUGAGUGGCCCAGCCAGAGCCAGGACUUGAACCCGAUCAAACAUCUCUGGAGAGACCUGAAAAGAGUGUGCAUAGCUGUCAUCAAGGCAAAAGAUACCUGGGCUGAAGUCCCUCCAAAAGACCAGUAUGGGUUGAAGGGAGGUUCAGUGUGUCUGACUGUAGCAGAACCACCUGAGGAAUUUAAAGGACAGAUGGAAGUUCAAUAGUGCUGUAAUAGUUUAUGAUAAAGAGAUCUCUCCUAAAUACAAGAUGAAUGUGGAUUAUAAUCCAGUGAACCACACUCUGUGCAUUAAGAAUCUGACGGACACAGACAGUGGAAUUUACAUUGCAAAUGCAAAGAAAAUAGAUUGGACAGAUUCAACGUCUUCAUACAGACUUAAGGUGUUGGAAGCUGUUUCCAUUCCAGCCAUGCAGGUGACCUACUCCAACUCAAGUACAGGACUUUGUAACAUCACAGUGAAUUGUUCAGGCUGGAUGUUUUCUGUCUGUGAUGGAGGUCAGUGCCCACUGUACCAGGAAUCUCUGUCAGUCUCUGAGGUCAACAUCACCGUCUCC
RNAcentral lists this long non-coding RNA (1413 nucleotides) under Salmo salar (Atlantic salmon). RNAcentral describes it as "lncRNA (ENSSSAG00000111140.1)". Lineage: Eukaryota; Metazoa; Chordata; Actinopteri; Salmoniformes; Salmonidae. The record is from RNAcentral.